AAAUUUGAGAAUCUCUGCAAGCUC
Molecule: non-coding RNA, 24 nt
Filed under: Cricetulus griseus (Chinese hamster)
Lineage: Eukaryota; Metazoa; Chordata; Mammalia; Rodentia; Cricetidae
Source: RNAcentral